AUGCAGUCGACGAGUCCGAAACAGGACGAAACUUAGGUCCUGAAU
Non-coding RNA from Schistosoma mattheei, 45 nucleotides. The record is from Rfam. Lineage: Eukaryota; Metazoa; Platyhelminthes; Trematoda; Strigeidida; Schistosomatidae.